RNAcentral lists this transfer RNA (73 nucleotides) under Dipodomys ordii (Ord's kangaroo rat). It matches the Rfam family "tRNA". Rfam says of the family: Transfer RNA (tRNA) molecules are approximately 80 nucleotides in length. Their secondary structure includes four short double-helical elements and three loops (D, anti-codon, and T loops). Lineage: Eukaryota; Metazoa; Chordata; Mammalia; Rodentia; Heteromyidae. The record is from Rfam by way of RNAcentral.
GGGAAUAUGGCUUAGUGGUAGAGUGUUUGCCUACAAUGCACGAAGCCCUGGGUUCGAUUCCUCAGUAACCACA